Molecule: long non-coding RNA, 791 nt
Filed under: Homo sapiens (human)
Lineage: Eukaryota; Metazoa; Chordata; Mammalia; Primates; Hominidae
Source: RNAcentral
AGCUUCCUUGUCGUGUGGCCUCAGUCCUUCGCCGUCCCUCGCCGUCCUUCGCCAUCGCACGCCACCGCACCCCAUCUCUCGAAAUCUGCAGACAUCUUGAUUUUUCCCACGCUGUCUGUCAGGUCUCCGCCGCCACUCGACGCCAGGGCGCCGGGAGUGUCACAUGACUGCCGCCCCAUGUGUGUGAGAGGCGUCCUCUGGGAGAGCAUGGAUCCUGAGGUCCCAGGAUUGUCAGCUGACCUCUGUCCUGUGUGCCCAGUGGCCCCAGGUGACGUGUCUUCAAGAAGAGGCUGAGCUGCGGUGCUUGUAAGAUGGGUCUGCUGUGUGCAGAGGCUCCAUGGGAUGUGUUGUCUUCAUAGUAGCAGGGCGCUGGACCAUGGGUCCGCAAGGUCUCAGCCUUAGAUCCAAGGACAGUCCAAGGAAGUCCUAAGACCAUGGAGUUGGUGAUCUGGGAUCUGGGUUUGCUGAUAUUUCUCACCGUGAAUCUCUUGGUGGUGUUUGUGGGCACGAGAGGGGCAGAGAAUGGAGAGUGAGGCUACCACAUGAAGCGUCACCAGAGCUGCUCCCUGCUGCCUGCUCAGAGCACCCCGGAUCCACUGUUCAAUCUGCACAAGAUUCGGGGUCCAGACAUGGGAGACUUCAGCUGCCUCAGAGGACCGUGGACAGGGAAGGCCAGCCUCGCAUCCCUCUGUCCAUGCCUGGAAUGACUUUAAUAACCAAGAGUUUUAUUUUUGAAUUUGUAGCUGUCGUUCACUUUUUACCCACCCAUUCAAUAAACCUUACAGAAUUGC